GGGGCAGAAAGGGCAGAGAAGGCACGGUGCAGAGCUCGAUUGGCAAGGUGGCGAAGGGAUGCAGAGCUUUGCUAGGCAACGAUGGAACUUGGCGCUUUGCUAGGCAGCGAGUGGAAAAAGAGAUGCAGCGCUUUGCUAGAUGGUGAGGCGGCGAAGGGACUUGGCGCUUUGCUAGGCAGUGAAGGGAUGCAGCGUUUUGCUAGGCUGUGGGGCGCGAAUGGACUUGGCGCUUUGCUAGGCGGCAAGGCGUCAAGUGGAAGCAGCGCUUUUGUGGACGGCAAAGGGAGGCAACGCUUUGCCAGGCGGCGUGGCGGCAAAGGGAGUGGGCGCUUUGCUAAGUGGCGAGGCGGUGAGUCGCCGACACGGCGAAGGGACUCGCACUUUGCUAAGCUGUGAGGUGACGGAGUGCUUUGCUAGUCUGUGGGGCGCGAAUGGACUCAGCGAUUUGCUAGUCGGCGACGGGACGCAGUGCUUUGCUCGGGGUUGGAGCGGCGAAGGGAAAGUGCGCUUUGCUAGUCUGCGAGGAGGUGAAGGGAUGCGGCGCUUUGCUAGGCAGUAGGGCGGCGAAGGGACUCGGCGCUUUCCUAGGCGGCGAAGGGACUCGGCGCUUUGCUGGGUAGUGGGGCGGCAAAGGUUCUCAGCGUUUUGCUAGGCUGCGAAGGGACACAGUGCUUUGCUAGGCAGUGGGGUGGCGAAGGGACUCGGCGCUUUGCUAUGUGGCGAGGGGGAAAGGGGACGUAGCGCUGUGCUAGCCGGAGAGGUGGCGAACGGACGCAGCGCUUUUCUAUGCGGCAAAGGUUCUCAGAGUUUUGCUAGGCUGCGAAGGGAUGCAGCGCUCUUCUAUGCGGCAAAGGGACUCAGCGCUUUGCUAGGCAGUGUGGCGGCAAAGGGAGAGGGUGGUUUGCUAAGCGGUGAGGCGGCGAGUUGCCAACACGGCGAAGGGACUCGGCGCUUUGCUAAGCUGUGAGGGGAUGCAUUGCUUUGCUUAGCGGCGAAGGGACGGAGUGCUUUGCUAGUCUGUGGGGCGCGAAUGGACUUGGCGAUUUGCUAGGCAGUGGGGUGGCAAAGGUU
This 1071-nucleotide long non-coding RNA is filed under the name Apteryx haastii (Great spotted kiwi). RNAcentral describes it as "lncRNA (ENSAHAG00000004096.1)". Lineage: Eukaryota; Metazoa; Chordata; Aves; Apterygiformes; Apterygidae. The record is from RNAcentral.